GAUGAACGCUAGCGGCAGGCCUAACACAUGCAAGUCGAGGGGGAGGUUACUUUCGGGUAACUGAGACCGGCGUACGGGUGCGUAACGCGUAUACAAUCUGCCUUUCACUGGGGGAUAGCCAGAAGAAAUUUGGAUUAAUACCCCAUAGUAUAGUAAUACGGCAUCGUGAUGCUAUUAAAGCUUAGGUGGUGAAAGAUGAGUAUGCGUUCUAUUAGCUAGUUGGAGAGGUAACGGCUCCCCAAGGCGAUGAUAGAUAGGGGUUCUGAGAGGGAUGUCCCCCACACUGGUACUGAGAUACGGACCAGACUCCUACGGGAGGCAGCAGUGAGGAAUAUUGGACAAUGGUCGGAAGACUGAUCCAGCCAUGCCGCGUGCAGGAUGAAGGUCUUAUGGAUUGUAAACUGCUUUUGUAAGGGAAGAAUAAGGGCUACGCGUAGUUUGAUGACGGUACCUUACGAAUAAGCAUCGGCUAACUCCGUG
RNAcentral lists this ribosomal RNA (480 nucleotides) under uncultured bacterium. RNAcentral's name for it is "partial 16S ribosomal RNA". It matches the Rfam family "Bacterial small subunit ribosomal RNA", at positions 28 to 507 of the family's 1533-position model. The record is from RNAcentral.